UGCUGUUGGUCAAGGUUUGUUAAGUAAUC
RNAcentral lists this non-coding RNA (29 nucleotides) under Rattus norvegicus (Norway rat). Lineage: Eukaryota; Metazoa; Chordata; Mammalia; Rodentia; Muridae. The record is from RNAcentral.